This 461-nucleotide ribosomal RNA is filed under the name uncultured bacterium. Its description in RNAcentral is "partial 16S ribosomal RNA". It matches the Rfam family "Bacterial small subunit ribosomal RNA", at positions 338 to 795 of the family's 1533-position model. The record is from RNAcentral.
CCUACGGGUGGCAGCAGUGAGGAAUAUUGGUCAAUGGGCGGAAGCCUGAACCAGCCAAGUCGCGUGAGGGAUUAAGGCCCUGCGGGUCGUAAACCUCUUUUGCCGGGGAGCAGUGGUCCGGACGCGUCCGGCCCGGGAGAGUACCCGGAGAAAAAGCAUCGGCUAACUCCGUGCCAGCAGCCGCGGUAAUACGGAGGAUCCGAGCGUUAUCCGGAUUUAUUGGGUUUAAAGGGAGCGUAGGUGGAUUGUUAAGUCAGUUGUGAAAGUUUGCGGCUCAACCGUAAAAUUGCAGUUGAAACUGGCAGUCUUGAGUACAGUAGAGGUGGGCGGAAUUCGUGGUGUAGCGGUGAAAUGCUUAGAUAUCACGAAGAACUCCGAUUGCGAAGGCAGCUCACUGGACUGCAACUGACACUGAUGCUCGAAAGUGUGGGUAUCAAACAGGAUUAGAUACCCCUGUAGUC